This 492-nucleotide ribosomal RNA is filed under the name uncultured bacterium. RNAcentral describes it as "partial 16S ribosomal RNA". It matches the Rfam family "Bacterial small subunit ribosomal RNA", at positions 29 to 507 of the family's 1533-position model. The record is from RNAcentral.
AGUGAACGCUGGCGGUAGGCCUAACACAUGCAAGUCGAACGGCAGCACAGUAAGAGCUUGCUCUUACGGGUGGCGAGUGGCGGACGGGUGAGGAAUACAUCGGAAUCUACUUUUUCGUGGGGGAUAACGUAGGGAAACUUACGCUAAUACCGCAUACGACCUACGGGUGAAAGCAGGGGAUCCUCGGACCUUGCGCGAUUGAAUGAGCCGAUGUCGGAUUAGCUAGUUGGCGGGGUAAAGGCCCACCAAGGCGACGAUCCGUAGCUGGUCUGAGAGGAUGAUCAGCCACACUGGAACUGAGACACGGUCCAGGCUCCUACGGGAGGCAGCAGUGGGGAAUAUUGGACAAUGGGCGCAAGCCUGAUCCAGCCAUACCGCGUGGGUGAAGAAGGCCUUCGGGUUGUAAAGCCCUUUUGUUGGGAAAGAAAAGCAGCAGGUUAAUACCCCGCUGUCCUGACGGUACCCAAAGAAUAAGCACCGGCUAACUUCGUG